GAUGAACGCUGGCGGCGUGCCUAAUACAUGCGAGUCGAGCGAACAGACGAGGAGCUUGCUCCUUCGACGUUAGCGGCGGACGGGAGAGUAACACGUAGGUAACCUACCUAUAAGACUGGGAUAACUUCGGGAAACCGGAGCUAAUACCGGAUAAUAUUUCGAACCGCAUGGUUCGAUAGUGAAAGAUGGCUUUGCUAUCACUUAUAGAUGGACCUGCGCCGUAUUAGCUAGUUGGUAAGGUAACGGCUUACCAAGGCAACGAUACGUAGCCGACCUGAGAGGGUGAUCGGCCACACUGGAACUGAGACACGGUCCAGACUCCUACGGGAGGCAGCAGUAGGGAAUCUUCCGCAAUGGGCGAAAGCCUGACGGAGCAACGCCGCGUGAGUGAUGAAGGUCUUCGGAUCGUAAAACUCUGUUAUUAGGGAAGAACAAACGUGUAAGUAACUGUGCACGUCUUGACGGUACCUAAUCAGAAAGCCACGGCUAACUACGUG
RNAcentral lists this ribosomal RNA (497 nucleotides) under uncultured bacterium. RNAcentral's name for it is "partial 16S ribosomal RNA". It matches the Rfam family "Bacterial small subunit ribosomal RNA", at positions 28 to 507 of the family's 1533-position model. The record is from RNAcentral.